Molecule: unclassified non-coding RNA, 265 nt
Filed under: Mucoromycotina sp.
Lineage: Eukaryota; Fungi; Mucoromycota
Description: partial contains small subunit ribosomal RNA, internal transcribed spacer 1, and 5.8S ribosomal RNA
Rfam family: Eukaryotic small subunit ribosomal RNA (bases 1-47)
Source: RNAcentral
AAAGUCGUAACAAGGUUUCCGUAGGUGAACCUGCGGAAGGAUCAUUCACUAAAGUGUUUAUGGCACUUUCAAAUCCAUUACCCACCUUGUGUGCAUUGUCGGGGGAGGAUUCGAUCUCCAAUCUCCUUUCUCUCUUUCUGGGAGGGAGAGGAAAAUGGGGUGAGGGAUUCUCCUUUUUACACAUACCCAUGUUCUUCAGUAUCAGUCUACUUAUAGAGUGUAAAAAACUCGAAUACAACUUUCAACAACGGAUCUCUUGGCUCUC